CAAAAUAGAAGAAGAGAAGAGGGAAAGGAAGGAAAAAGAAGAAGAAGGAGAAGAGAAAGUGCAGCCUUCUUUUCUGCUGCUGCAUACUGCUACGGCUGUUGUUCCUGCAGCCAUGGUUGCUGCUAUUGAUGCAUAUAAGCAUCUUGUACUCUCCACCACAAGUAAAAGCUGCCUUGGUCUUGAUCUAGCUGAAGAUUUGAGUGAAGGACUGCUGAUCAGUUGUAUGCAUGUAUCAAGAAGCACAAAAGUUUGGUGGAAUAGCAGAGGAGAAGAAAGAAAGAGGAGGGAAGAAAAGAAGAAGAAGAAGAAGGAAGAAGAAGGAAGAAGAAGAAGAGAAGAAGAGGAAGGAAGAAGAAGGAAGGGAGGAUAGAACCAGGGGCAUCUUGCACUCAGAUGGUUGAAUCGAUGCUGAGGCAAGAUUGGAUUUCAGCUGCGGUUGUGAGGCUUGUGUCUACGAGACACUGACUUGCCAGUGGACUUCACUUCUGUUAUUUCAGUUAUUUCUUUUGAUGUAAAUAUUUUACGAAAGGUGUAAUAGUAAUAUUGUAACCUAUUGUUGUUUUCAGACUUGGAAUUUGUAUACUGGUAAAUUAUCAUUUUAGUACACUACUAAGAGUAACUGUAUGCUUUUAUUAGCAUACUCUGAUUUUAGUGGUGA
Molecule: long non-coding RNA, 658 nt
Organism: Macadamia integrifolia
Lineage: Eukaryota; Viridiplantae; Streptophyta; Magnoliopsida; Proteales; Proteaceae
Exons: 3
Source: RefSeq, a predicted model, not a curated record